RNAcentral lists this ribosomal RNA (1336 nucleotides) under Nocardia cyriacigeorgica. RNAcentral's name for it is "bacterial SSU rRNA". It matches the Rfam family "Bacterial small subunit ribosomal RNA", at positions 81 to 1430 of the family's 1533-position model. Lineage: Bacteria; Bacillati; Actinomycetota; Actinomycetes; Mycobacteriales; Nocardiaceae. The record is from RNAcentral.
UUCGGGGUACACGAGCGGCGAACGGGUGAGUAACACGUGGGUGAUCUGCCUCGCACUCUGGGAUAAGCCUGGGAAACUGGGUCUAAUACCGGAUAUGACCUUACAUCGCAUGGUGUUUGGUGGAAAGAUUUAUCGGUGCGAGAUGGGCCCGCGGCCUAUCAGCUUGUUGGUGGGGUAAUGGCCUACCAAGGCGACGACGGGUAGCCGGCCUGAGAGGGCGACCGGCCACACUGGGACUGAGACACGGCCCAGACUCCUACGGGAGGCAGCAGUGGGGAAUAUUGCACAAUGGGCGAAAGCCUGAUGCAGCGACGCCGCGUGAGGGAUGACGGCCUUCGGGUUGUAAACCUCUUUCGACAGGGACGAAGCGCAAGUGACGGUACCUGUAGAAGAAGCACCGGCCAACUACGUGCCAGCAGCCGCGGUAAUACGUAGGGUGCGAGCGUUGUCCGGAAUUACUGGGCGUAAAGAGCUUGUAGGCGGCUUGUCGCGUCGAUCGUGAAAACUUGGGGCUCAACCCCAAGCUUGCGGUCGAUACGGGCAGGCUUGAGUACUUCAGGGGAGACUGGAAUUCCUGGUGUAGCGGUGAAAUGCGCAGAUAUCAGGAGGAACACCGGUGGCGAAGGCGGGUCUCUGGGAAGUAACUGACGCUGAGAAGCGAAAGCGUGGGUAGCGAACAGGAUUAGAUACCCUGGUAGUCCACGCCGUAAACGGUGGGUACUAGGUGUGGGUUUCCUUCCACGGGAUCCGUGCCGUAGCUAACGCAUUAAGUACCCCGCCUGGGGAGUACGGCCGCAAGGCUAAAACUCAAAGGAAUUGACGGGGGCCCGCACAAGCGGCGGAGCAUGUGGAUUAAUUCGAUGCAACGCGAAGAACCUUACCUGGGUUUGACAUACACCGGAAACCUGCAGAGAUGUAGGCCCCCUUGUGGUCGGUGUACAGGUGGUGCAUGGCUGUCGUCAGCUCGUGUCGUGAGAUGUUGGGUUAAGUCCCGCAACGAGCGCAACCCUUAUCUUAUGUUGCCAGCGCGUAAUGGCGGGGACUCGUGAGAGACUGCCGGGGUCAACUCGGAGGAAGGUGGGGACGACGUCAAGUCAUCAUGCCCCUUAUGUCCAGGGCUUCACACAUGCUACAAUGGCCGGUACAGAGGGCUGCGAUACCGUGAGGUGGAGCGAAUCCCUUAAAGCCGGUCUCAGUUCGGAUCGGGGUCUGCAACUCGACCCCGUGAAGUUGGAGUCGCUAGUAAUCGCAGAUCAGCAACGCUGCGGUGAAUACGUUCCCGGGCCUUGUACACACCGCCCGUCACGUCAUGAAAGUCGGUAACACCCGAAGCCGG